ACGGGUGAGUAAUGUCUGGGAAACUGCCUGAUGGAGGGGGAUAACUACUGGAAACGGUAGCUAAUACCGCAUGACCUCGUAAGAGCAAAGUGGGGGACCUUCGGGCCUCACGCCAUCGGAUGUGCCCAGAUGGGAUUAGCUAGUAGGUGAGGUAAUGGCUCACCUAGGCGACGAUCCCUAGCUGGUCUGAGAGGAUGACCAGCCACACUGGAACUGAGACACGGUCCAGACUCCUACGGGAGGCAGCAGUGGGGAAUAUUGCACAAUGGGCGCAAGCCUGAUGCAGCCAUGCCGCGUGUGUGAAGAAGGCCUUCGGGUUGUAAAGCACUUUCAGCGAGGAGGAAGGGUUCAGUGUUAAUAGCACUGUUCAUUGACGUUACUCGCAGAAGAAGCACCGGCUAACUCCGUGCCAGCAGCCGCGGUAAUACGGAGGGUGCAAGCGUUAAUCGGAAUUACUGGGCGUAAAGCGCACGCAGGCGGUUUGUUAAGUCAGAUGUGAAAUCCCCGAGCUUAACUUGGGAACUGCAUUUGAAACUGGCAAGCUAGAGUCUUGUAGAGGGGGGUAGAAUUCCAGGUGUA
RNAcentral lists this ribosomal RNA (579 nucleotides) under uncultured Enterobacteriaceae bacterium. RNAcentral's name for it is "bacterial SSU rRNA". It matches the Rfam family "Bacterial small subunit ribosomal RNA", at positions 102 to 677 of the family's 1533-position model. The record is from RNAcentral. Lineage: Bacteria; Pseudomonadati; Pseudomonadota; Gammaproteobacteria; Enterobacterales; Enterobacteriaceae.